RNAcentral lists this non-coding RNA (29 nucleotides) under Mus musculus (house mouse). Lineage: Eukaryota; Metazoa; Chordata; Mammalia; Rodentia; Muridae. The record is from RNAcentral.
UGGGUAUGUGUGGAAUGCCAGGAAGCCUC